Molecule: ribosomal RNA, 235 nt
Filed under: uncultured bacterium
Lineage: Bacteria
Description: partial 16S ribosomal RNA
Rfam family: Bacterial small subunit ribosomal RNA
Source: RNAcentral
GCGUUGUUCGGAAUUACGUGGGCGUAAAGCGCAUGUAGGCGGACUAUUUAAGUCGGGGGUGAAAUCCCGGGGGCUCAACCUCGGAACUGCCUUUGAUACUGGGUGUCUAGAGUGUGGAAGAGGUAAGUGGAAUUCCGAGUGUAGAGGUGAAAUUCGUAGAUAUUCGGAGGAACACCAGUGGCGAAGGCGGCUUACUGGUCCAUUACUGACGCUGAGGUGCGAAAGCGUGGGGAGC